UACAGAGGGUGCGAGCGUUAAUAGGAAUUACUGGGCGUAAAGGGCGCGUAGGCGGGCUUAUAAGUCAGAUGUGAAAGUCCUGGGCUUAACCUGGGGAUUGCAUAUGAAACUGUAGGUCUGGAGUGAAGUAGAGGGUGGCGGAAUUUCCGGUGUAGCGGUGAAAUGCGUAGAUAUCGGAAGGAACACCAGUGGCGAAGGCGGCCACCUGGACUUUAACUGACGCUGAGGCGCGAAAGCGUGGGGAGCGAACAGG
Molecule: ribosomal RNA, 253 nt
Filed under: uncultured bacterium
Lineage: Bacteria
Description: partial 16S ribosomal RNA
Rfam family: Bacterial small subunit ribosomal RNA
Source: RNAcentral